UAGCUUAGAACUGGUUACUUUCAUUUCAAGUGUGCCAGAUAAAAUGAAGCUAUAUUUCAUGUCUCUUAGCUCAAACUUUAUAAAAUAAUGUAGACAUCUCCAAUAACUUCUAUAAAUGCUUCUGAAUAUUUAAAAAUUCUGACUUUUUAAUACUUGGUCACUUUAAAUGACACCAUAUAAAGCUGCAAAAAGAACUUAUUGACUUAAUCCAUUCAAAAUCUUUUAGAUUUAAAUACUGGGAUCCAAAUCGAUUGGCUUUCUUGCAAAUAACCUGAGUUAGCUACAUGAGAUUCAGUAGGACUACAUUAAACUUUUGUUAAGGAUUUAUGCUCCCAAAGCGUAGUAAAGACAAAGAGUUAGACAAAUUUACAUGCAUACCCAGAGGUAACUGAUUUCAAGGGUGCAAGUAUGGGACAUAGAGAAUUCCUAUUUGUUUCUCUGCCAAUUUCUCGCUAUGUUUCUUCAUUCAAGCCAUAAUUACAUUGCUAAAGAUUCCACUGUGGCAAGUGAAAAGAUGAAUGGAAUUUAGGUCUCUUUUGUGAGCUCUGAGAGGAAAGAGAAAGGACACAGUAAAGCUUUUAUUGACCCAAGUCCAAAUCCAGUGUGUCUAACUAGGAAAUUGUUUAUUCAGAUGAAAGCCAAAAGGCAUCUCAGCCUAAUGUGGCUGAGACAGCAAAAUCAAUUCUGAGCACAAGAGCUCUGUUGAGUAAAUGUUUAAAGGAGAAAAAAAAGGGCCUGCACAAAUUAAUAAAUGAUACCAAGCAUAAGAGAGAUGUAGUCUGUGCCUCAUAUUACUUUUAUGAUAUACUCUUUUAUCUGUGUUGUUUUGCUGGUGAAAUAAAAUUGCCUAUUUUCUUCAUCUAUGAAAAAGAAAAUAUGACAUUACUAAAAGUUAUUUUUACUAUAAAAAUUGAUUAAUGAGUUGACAUAAUUUUUCUUUCCAAAGAAAGGAUGGAUUUACUCUCCCUAUUAACUAUAUUUGAUCCCACUCCUCCAACAUAAAGACUUCUUGUGCAUAAUUAAGGAUAGGCCUUCACCUUUGUUUUAUUUUUUACUGGCUGAUUUUUGCUUACUGCUAAUUUUUUAAAAAAGCAUAAAGCAAUAUUUAAAUGGGUUUCUAUGACUCAUUCUAGGAAGAAAGAAUUUUUAAAAGACAGAUGUCAUGUUUCUUAUGAAAGAAACAUGCUAAUAAACAAAUUUCUUCUUAGAUUUUUGUGGACAAAAAAUCAGAGUUUGUUAGUGAUUGUCUAACAGCCAUUAAUAAAAUUUUGUUGGCUCCAGACACAUGCAAUGUAAUUUCUUUUCAUCGUACAUCUAUCUGUUAUAUGUGUUUUGAUAGAUAAGAUCUAAAUUAGUAACUGUCAAUCAAUAUGUCUCUGAAAAUAUCUUUAACAAUCACUUCCUCACACUGGGUUUUUACCAAAAAUGUUAUCUUACCUGAUUUAUGUGUUCGUAGUGACAUACUAUAAAGCUCUAUGUUCUCCAAAACUUUUCACUGAAUUUAUACUAGUGAAUGAGGUAAUCACUAGAAAGCAUGUUUUUUUUCUAAAACAGCAUAUUACAUUUAAUAUGUUCAGCUUGGUGAGUAUUUCACGUUUCAGCAUAGGUGACCGGUAUCACUUAAAUAUUUGCCAAAUGAUGAGUUUACAUGUACUUAUAUUGGAGGGAUUCUGUUUUAUAGAUGUGAAUAUCUUUUUAACUUUAACAGAGACUUAGAAGCUAGACUCUGCAAUGUUGUCCCAGAAAAACCGAUUUAAUGGAAAUAUAAGCCUUAUAUUGUAUGCCAUGCUCAUUUAUCUAUUUGCGCACAAGGUAUAAAAGAAGCGAUUAUCUUGCCACCAACUUAACAUUUGUCUCUAAAAUCACCAACACAACUGAACUGCAUCUGGGAUAUUUGGAAUUGUCCAUCAGGUGAUCAUUACUGGGGUUAAAUUAUUAAAUUGUUCCUAGUUGGUUAAAGACUCCAUGGCCAGAUAUAAUUGCAUUGUGCGUUAUGAGCUAUUUGUGUCAUUAUAGGCUGUAAUUUUGCAUUAGUGUGUUAGGAAAUAAGAAGUGCACAUAUGAAUUCAUCUUAUAGGUCAUAUUGGCAUCUUUAUUUCAAAAUAAGUAUGUGCUACUUGGUCUUUUCCCACUUCACUUUUAUGCUCCAGUUAUGAAUUUCUACAUGACGUCGACGUACCAUGUUUUUCUUUUCUGCUUUUGCUCUUACUUCUUUGGGAACAUUCCUUUAGACAUUCUCCCGGGUACUUCCUUCUUGGUUCAGAUGUCAUGUUACCUGGGAAGUGCCAAGAUUCUAUACCGGAGCCAGGACUAAGUGCUCUGAUAACAGAGUAUUUCCACUGUUGCAGGUACUAGAUCAUAUUCUUAUGUAUUACUUAUUUAUUUCUUUAUAUUUUUGACAAAUGCAGUUGUAUCUAUUUAAGAUGUACAUUGUGAUAAUUACCGAGAUCCAGAUAAUGAAUACUUCUGUCAUAUUUAGAUUAUUCACCAGUAUUUUCAUGUCAUCUAUCAACUCCUUAAAGACUGAUCAUUUUAAUCAAUUUGUUCCUCAAUGCUUCUAACAAGGCUUACCUAUAACAGGUUCUCAAGGACGAUUCUGUCACUUUUGUUUUGUUUUUUGUUCUUUUUUCUUUAAUAUCUUUAUCAUAAAAUGAAAUACACAGAUAAAGCCAUACAAAAUAAAUAUAUGGCUUUGUGAAUUAAGUUGGACACACUUGUAAUCGCUACCCAAGUUAUAACAUUACAAUGAUACCAGCUACCCUAGAAAUCCUCCAUUUGCUCCAUCCCAAUUACCCCUCCUUUCUCUCUCUAAAACUAAUCUCUUCUGUGCUUUUCUUUAUAUUUUAUCACACAGGUGUAUAUCUGUAGACUCUGUAACUGACUCCUGCCACUUAUUUUUUAAUUCGAUGUCUCCUUUAAUUUACAGGUUUCAUGUUCAUUUAUUUUCCUUCUAGUUAUCGCCUUUCAACAGGCAUGCCCCUAUGGACAUAUACCUUAGUAAGCAAAUAAUUCCUCAGUUUCGAUUAGAAAUAGGUCCUGCUUCUGUGGUAGCAUCAUGCAGCCUCAACACAAGGCACACGACUUGGUGUGAAGCACCAGGCCAGAUUUUUGCCCCUGCUUACUCUUAAUCUAGGUCUUGUGCUUUAAAGAAACUACACAGCCAUACGUAAAGUAACCAUAUGCAGUAGUCCUGGUAAUUACUUCCAGCGAAGAUAUUGUAUAUAAUUUAUGCUUCAAUGCUGUAUUUUCUGUGACAGACCCAUAAUGAUAAUAGAUGAACUAUGGAAAGGAAACUGAAAACCUCUUAGAUGGGAUCAAAUAGAACAUAAAAAUCUCCAUGGCCAUAAGUGAAAUAGAAAUAUAUAUGAGCGAGAUGAAUUCAUGGGUAUGCUGAGCUACCAGCAUCCUGCGGUAGUAAGGAAGUUGCUCCUGCAGGGUCAUGUGAAGUAAGUGUUCUGUGUGAGAUGGUGGCUGUACGCCAAGUUCACUCCAUGAAUAUAGCGGUGUGAUUGGCACUGCUCCCACCUCCCACCUGGGAAAGUAACUGGGAAAAAAAAUUCUAGUUGCUUUCUGUUUUUAUGCGUUAGAGGAAAUGGUGAGCCUGGGGACAGGAGAGGAAAUAAGACAGGAUCACCAGCAGGAUCUGAAACUUAUUUUCCUUCAGCUUAGUGACUUAGUAUCUGCAAUACCUAUAAUGUCACUGAGUUGCAGAAAAGACCACAAUUUCAUUUUCAGAUCUUGUCCUGCACCGGGGAUUUAAGGAUGGAGUUCUAUGACCUUGCUGGAGUCUCCUUCUGCUUCCUCCAGAAGUACAGCAGACUCACAGCUGAAGACCAUUUACUCUUUUACAGCUUUAUUUUCAGAAUAGUUGGAAAAUUCUGAAUGUGGAUGAAAUAUUAAGGAUGAUAAUGACCUAUGUGUAUUUUGUCUAAUUUGGAUGUUUUCAGACAUUAUUUCUUCAAGUAUUGUUUUUGCAAUUUUUUCUCUCACUGCUCCUUCUGAGACGCACAUGAUGUGUGUAUUGGUCUGCUUUGUGAGUGUCACUUCCAGGUAGAAGCCUCUUAGAUCCAACAUACAAUGGAAAAGGAAAAACUUCACAGAGCAUUAAGCCAAGGGGUAUGGAGAAUAGUGGACAAAGAAGCCACAUCCAGGGAGCAGAACUGGGCUAUCCAGGAACAUUCUCCCUCUUCAGGGUAGAUGAAUCUUGAAGUGUCUACCUAGUAUAUUUCAGAAUUUUACAUACUUCAAUCUGCUGUUCAUCCCCAUCUCUCCUUUUUUACAACAAGGUGGGUUGGGGUUUUUUGUUUGUUUGUUUUUAGGUUACCUUAUCUUUAUUUAUCCGUUUUAUACUGGGUGUGUGUAGGCAAAAAAAACCCCAUCUUUUUUGUUCAUAGCUUUCAAUUUAGGAGGAGCACUUCUGAAUGUAAUGUGGACAGUCAUGAAUCAUUUCAUAGUGGAAAGACUGCCAUGCAUCAUCCAGAGAUCCUGCUCCUCAAACUUGAUGAUACAGUUGGAUGGGACUUGUGUGUCUCCACUGAGUGUAUUUUGAAUACAGGAAGAAGAGUAUCCCAAAUAUUGGUGACCAGAAGGUGAGACAGAGGUAAUCGCUGGAAUUAGGAUUAUAUUCCAGGUCUUCUCCUUUAGUGUAUAUGUUAGGUCUGGACUUCCUUUUCUAUACGAGUAGAAAUGAUAUGUAACCCUUAGGACCUGCUGCAUUGUUCACUACUGUCUUGUCCCUCAACCACAGUGGUGAUGAUAGGAAGUACUGAUGUGGAGCCCCCAUCAGACUAGAUCUUUAAAUGAUAUGUAUGUUUAGUGUAUGCAAGAAACAACCUUUUGUGAUGUUUACACAUUGAUGGUUGAUAUAUUUUUUUAACUGCAUCUUAAACUAGGUUAUACUGGCAUUGAUACUACGUAAAUGUGAAACCUAACCUCAAAGGGAUACAUUCAAACAAAGCCCUUAGAAAGAGAUAAAUUAUGGUAGAGCUAGUAGUGAACAGUGAAUCCAUCAAAAAAUAGAAUUAAGGGAGUUCCCAUCGUGGGUCAGCAGAAACGAACCUGACUAGCAUCCUUGAGGACGCAGGUUCAGUCCCUGGACUUACUCAGUGGAUUAGGGAUCUGAUGUUGCCGUGAGCUGUGGUGUAGGUUGCAGAUGUGGCUCAGAUCCCGCAUUGCUGUGGCUGUGGCGUAGGCCAGCAGCUGCAGCUCUGAUUUGACUCCUAGCCUGGGAAACUCCAUAUGAAAUUAUAGCUUAAAAAAGAGAAAAACAAGUAUUUGAAACUUUGAUAAUAUAAAAAUAAGAACAUAACUAACAAAUGUAAUUAAAGGAAUAGUAAGAGUGCUAACAUCUUAAUAUUUUAUAGCAGGAAGUAAAAUAAUGUAUACAUUAAAAUGUAAUUAAAAUGACUUUAACUUCAUAAUAUUUAAGAACAUAUCUCAUGCUGAAAGAACAUUCAUCUAAAGUUUGGAAAUUGCUUUGUUUUAAAUUCAGUUUCUCUUUCUUCUAUAAAUUUAAAUACAGUAAAAUUUAAAUUUUCGCUAUCAUGACAAAAUAAUAUAAUCUAGGUUUUAUAAUACUAUGCCUAUCCAUCCAUCCAUACCUCUGCUAUUCAUCUAUCCUUUCAUUUGUAUAUUAUUCUAUUUAUACAGUCAUGUGGAGAUAUGCUUGAAAUGCUAUUUUUAAGACAGUUACAGUAAUUUAUAAGUGAUAGGAUUUGUAGAGAUAUUUUCCCAUAUGUUUUCUACUUUUCUGUAUUGAAUGCCUUUUUUCUAUCUUUUUUUUUUAAACCAUAAA
Molecule: long non-coding RNA, 5794 nt
Filed under: Sus scrofa (pig)
Lineage: Eukaryota; Metazoa; Chordata; Mammalia; Artiodactyla; Suidae
Description: lncRNA (ENSSSCG00000055708.1)
Source: RNAcentral